Molecule: microRNA, 21 nt
Filed under: Gossypium raimondii (Peruvian cotton)
Lineage: Eukaryota; Viridiplantae; Streptophyta; Magnoliopsida; Malvales; Malvaceae
Description: gra-miR827b
Gene: gra-miR827b
Source: miRBase by way of RNAcentral
UUUGUUUAUGGUCAUCUAAGC